GACGAACGCUGGCGGCGUGCUUAACACAUGCAAGUCGAACGGAAAGGCCCUGCUUUUGUGGGGUGCUCGAGUGGCGAACGGGUGAGUAACACGUGAGUAACCUGCCCUUGACUUUGGGAUAACUUCAGGAAACUGGGGCUAAUACCGGAUAGGAGCUCCUGCUGCAUGGUGGGGGUUGGAAAGUUUCGGCGGUUGGGGAUGGACUCGCGGCUUAUCAGCUUGUUGGUGGGGUAGUGGCUUACCAAGGCUUUGACGGGUAGCCGGCCUGAGAGGGUGACCGGCCACAUUGGGACUGAGAUACGGCCCAGACUCCUACGGGAGGCAGCAGUGGGGAAUAUUGCACAAUGGGCGGAAGCCUGAUGCAGCAACGCCGCGUGCGGGAUGACGGCCUUCGGGUUGUAAACCGCUUUCGCCUGUGACGAAGCGUGAGUGACGGUAAUGGGUAAAGAAGCACCGGCUAACUACGUGCCAGCAGCCGCGGUGAUACGUAGGGUGCGAGCGUUGUCCGGAUUUAUUGGGCGUAAAGGGCUCGUAGGUGGUUGAUCGCGUCGGAAGUGUAAUCUUGGGGCUUAACCCUGAGCGUGCUUUCGAUACGGGUUGACUUGAGGAAGGUAGGGGAGAAUGGAAUUCCUGGUGGAGCGGUGGAAUGCGCAGAUAUCAGGAGGAACACCAGUGGCGAAGGCGGUUCUCUGGGCCUUUCCUGACGCUGAGGAGCGAAAGCGUGGGGAGCGAACAGGCUUAGAUACCCUGGUAGUCCACGCUGUAAACGGUGGGUACUAGGUGUGGGGUCCAUUCCACGGGUUCCGUGCCGUAGCUAACGCUUUAAGUACCCCGCCUGGGGAGUACGGCCGCAAGGCUAAAACUCAAAGGAAUUGACGGGGCCCCGCACAAGCGGCGGAGCAUGCGGAUUAAUUCGAUGCAACGCGUAGAACCUUACCUGGGUUUGACAUGGAUCGGGAGUGCUCAGAGAUGGGUGUGCCUCUUUUGGGGUCGGUUCACAGGUGGUGCAUGGCUGUCGUCAGCUCGUGUCGUGAGAUGUUGGGUUAAGUCCCGCAACGAGCGCAACCCUUGUUCACUGUUGCCAGCACGUUAUGGUGGGGACUCAGUGGAGACCGCCGGGGUCAACUCGGAGGAAGGUGGGGAUGACGUCAAGUCAUCAUGCCCCUUAUGUCCAGGGCUUCACGCAUGCUACAAUGGCUGGUACAGAGAGUGGCGAGCCUGUGAGGGUGAGCGAAUCUCGGAAAGCCGGUCUCAGUUCGGAUUGGGGUCUGCAACUCGACCUCAUGAAGUCGGAGUCGCUAGUAAUCGCAGAUCAGCAACGCUGCGGUGAAUACGUUCCCGGGGCUUGUACACACCGCCCGUCAAGUCAUGAAAGUUGGUAACACCCGAAGCCGGUGGCCUAACCGUUGUGGGGGAGCCGUCGAAGG
This 1427-nucleotide ribosomal RNA is filed under the name uncultured organism. RNAcentral's name for it is "16S ribosomal RNA". It matches the Rfam family "Bacterial small subunit ribosomal RNA". The record is from RNAcentral.